ACCUGCCCUUCUAAAAAGUCCCUCCCCAGCUUCCCUGUAGGCCCCCUUCAGGUACUGGAAGGUAGCUAAAAGGUCCCCUCGGAGCCUUCUCUUCUCCAGGCUGAUAAGCCCCAGCUCUCUCAGACUCUCCUUGCAGCGGAGGUGCUUCAGUCCUCUGAUAUCUUCAUGGACCUUCUCUGGACCCACUCCAACAGCCCCAUGUCCUUUUGUGUUGGAGGCUGCGGAACUGGAUGGAAUACUCCAGUGCCACCAACAUGCUUGGCAGCUCUGUUCUUUCUACCAAGAGGAGGCCAAAAAAUGAGCAGCAAGUAGGGAUGGCUGAUGGCUGUCAUUACUCUCUGUAUCCCCAGUGCUGUGAGGUGAGAGGGACGCAGUUUGGAGAACAGGACUCCAAGAAGCUCAGGGACAUGACACAGAACAGAGCCCACCCUGCAGCACUGCCUCUCCCUCUACUCAUCACAUGGACUACUCCCUACAGCUGCAGCACUGUCUCUUAAGGAGGCUGAAGACCAGAGAGGCAGCAACAGCUGGCCUCUGAUUGGGAACUACUGAUUUACAUCACUAAUAAAAGCAUAAAAUGUAAGAAUGACACAA
This is a long non-coding RNA of Numida meleagris (helmeted guineafowl), 594 nucleotides long. RefSeq lists it as uncharacterized. Lineage: Eukaryota; Metazoa; Chordata; Aves; Galliformes; Numididae. The record is from RefSeq and is a predicted model, not a curated record. The transcript is spliced from 2 exons.